AGAGUUUGAUCCUGGCUCAGAACGAACGCUGGCGGCGUGGAUAAGACAUGCAAGUCGAACGCUGACAUUCGGGUAGCAAUAUUUGAAUGUUGGAGUGGCGCAAGGGUGUGUAACACGUGGGCAAUCUGCCGUGAAGUCUGGGAUAACUCGCUGAAAGGCGAGCUAAUACCGGAUGUGAAUGCAAAUUCAAAGUUGGGGAUCGCAAGACCUGACGCUUCACGAUGAGCCCGCGGCCUAUCAGCUAGUUGGUGAGGUAACGGCUCACCAAGGCUAAGACGGGUAGCUGGUCUGAGAGGACGACCAGCCACACUGGAACUGAGACACGGUCCAGACACCUACGGGUGGCAGCAGUCGAGAAUUUUUCUCAAUGGGGGAAACCCUGAAGGAGCGACGCCGCGUGGGGGAUGAAUGGCUUCGGCCCGUAAACCCCUGUCAUUUGCGAACAAAUUGCAUUACCUAACACGUGAUGCAUUGAUUGUAGCGAAAGAGGAAGGGACGGCUAACUCUGUGCCAGCAGCCGCGGUAAUACAGAGGUCCCAAGCGUUGUUCGGAUUCACUGGGCGUAAAGGGUGCGUAGGCGGUGGGGUAAGUUUGACGUGAAAUCUCCGGGCUCAACCCGGAAACUGCGUUGAAUACUAUCCCACUCGAGGAAUGGAGGGGAGACUGGAAUACUUGGUGUAGCAGUGAAAUGCGUAGAUAUCAAGUGGAACACCAGUGGCGAAGGCGAGUCUCUGGACAUUUCCUGACGCUGAGGCACGAAAGCCAGGGGAGCAAACGGGAUUAGAUACCCCCGUAGUCC
This 799-nucleotide ribosomal RNA is filed under the name uncultured bacterium. Its description in RNAcentral is "bacterial SSU rRNA". It matches the Rfam family "Bacterial small subunit ribosomal RNA", at positions 8 to 796 of the family's 1533-position model. The record is from RNAcentral.